RNAcentral lists this ribosomal RNA (446 nucleotides) under uncultured bacterium. RNAcentral describes it as "partial 16S ribosomal RNA". It matches the Rfam family "Bacterial small subunit ribosomal RNA", at positions 355 to 794 of the family's 1533-position model. The record is from RNAcentral.
UAGGGAAUCUUCCACAAUGGACACAAGUCUGAUGGAGCAACGCCGCGUGAGUGAAGAAGGCUUUCGGGUCGUAAAACUCUGUUAUUGAAGAAGAACGUGUGUGACAGUAACUGGUCAUGCAGUGACGGCAUUCAAUCAGAAAGUCACGGCUAACUACGUGCCAGCAGCCGCGGUAAUACGUAGGUGGCAAGCGUUGUCCGGAUUUAUUGGGCGUAAAGCGAGUGCAGGCGGUCUUUUAAGUCUGAUGUGAAAGCCUUCGGCUUAACCGAAGAAGGGCAUCGGAAACUGGAGACUUGAGUGCAGAAGAGGAGAGUGGAACUCCAUGUGUAGCGGUGAAAUGCGUAGAUAUAUGGAAGAACACCAGUGGCGAAGGCGGCUCUCUGGUCUGUAACUGACGCUGAGGCUCGAAAGCGUGGGUAGCAAACAGGAUUAGAUACCCUGGUAGU